Molecule: ribosomal RNA, 520 nt
Filed under: uncultured Glomeromycotina
Lineage: Eukaryota; Fungi; Glomeromycota
Description: SSU rRNA
Rfam family: Eukaryotic small subunit ribosomal RNA
Source: RNAcentral
CGCAGCCGCGGUAAUUCCAGCUCCAAUAGCGUAUAUUAAAGUUGUUGCAGUUAAAAAGCUCGUAGUUGAAUUUCGGGGUCAGUAGGUUGGUCGUGCCACCGGUAUGCACUGGUCUCACUGAUUCCUCCUUCCUGAUGAGCCGUAAUGCCAUUAAUUUGGUGUUGCGGGGAAUCUGGACUGUUACUUUGAAAAAUUAGAGUGUUUAAAGCAGGCUAACGCUUGAAUACAUUAGCAUGGAAUAAUGGAAUAGGACGUUCGAUCCUAUUUUGUUGGUUUCUAGGAUUGACGUAAUGAUUAAUAGGGAUAGUUGGGGGCAUUAGUAUUCAAUUGUCAGAGGUGAAAUUCUUGGAUUUAUUGAAGACUAACUACUGCGAAAGCAUUUGCCAAGGAUGUUUUCAUUAAUCAAGAACGAAAGUUAGGGGAUCGAAGACGAUCAGAUACCGUCGUAGUCUUAACCAUAAACUAUGCCGACUAGGGAUCGGAUGGAUGUUAAUUUUUUAAUGUACUCAUUCGGCGACCU